Molecule: ribosomal RNA, 751 nt
Filed under: uncultured Actinomycetes bacterium
Lineage: Bacteria; Bacillati; Actinomycetota; Actinomycetes
Description: bacterial SSU rRNA
Rfam family: Bacterial small subunit ribosomal RNA
Source: RNAcentral
UGCUUAACACAUGCAAGUCGAACGGGGUCCAAGCAGUGGCAACACUGUGGAAGACCGAGUGGCGAACGGGUGAGUAACACGUGAGGAACCUGCCCCGGACUCUGGGAUAACUCUCCGAAAGGAGGGCUAAUACCGGAUGCCGUCGUUGCACCGCAUGAUGCGACGACGAAAGAAUUUCGGUCCGGGAGGGCCUCGCGGCCUAUCAGCUUGUUGGUGGGGUAACGGCCUACCAAGGCUCCGACGGGUAGCUGGUCUGAGAGGACGAUCAGCCACACUGGGACUGAGACACGGCCCAGACUCCUACGGGAGGCAGCAGUGGGGAAUCUUGCGCAAUGGGCGAAAGCCUGACGCAGCAACGCCGCGUGCGGGAUGAAGGCCUUCGGGUUGUAAACCGCUUUCAGCAGGAACGAAUCUGACGGUACCUGCAGAAGAAGGUCCGGCCAACUACGUGCCAGCAGCCGCGGUAACACGUAGGGACCGAGCGUUGUCCGGAUUUAUUGGGCGUAAAGAGCUCGUAGGCGGUUCGGUAAGUCGGGUGUGAAAACUCUGGGCUCAACUCGGAGACACCACCCGAUACUGCCGUGACUCGAGUGCGGUAGGGGAGCAUGGAAUUCCUGGUGUAGCGGUGAAAUGCGCAGAUAUCAGGAGGAACACCGGUGGCGAAGGCGGUGCUCUGGGCCGUGACUGACGCUGAGGAGCGAAAGCGUGGGGUAGCAAACAGGAUUAGAUACCCUGGUAGUCCACGCCGUAA